UAAUAACUAACCAAGUAUGGCGUCCUCGCAAAAUUAACCCAAAAAUAAUUCACUUGCAUUUUCACGGGUCUAACUAAAUCUCUUUAUUGUGUGAAUGACGAAGUUAAUCUGAACGGUGAAGUGAAUUGUGCUGAUUUAAAGAGCUUCGAAAACUUGGCCAGAGACUUUAUUGAAAGGGAACAACGAACGGGGUGAGGGGAAAAUCCCAACAUGGAUUCCGCAACAUUCCACCGCUGAGCCAGUGCAGUUACUUUGCAGAACUUCUUGAAGUACAAGACAAACAAAGCACGAUUUAAUCAGAUUCAGAUUAUGACAGGAGCAUAAAUAAAAUAACAACAUUUGACGUUUGAUAAAAUAGAUCCUGAAGGUGGCCACAUAUUUAAAAGCCAUUUCGGCCAAACAGCGGAGAAAUACAUUACUUGUGUGGGAUGCAUAGGAUGACACAAACAAGCAACACCCUUGGAUGUCCGCUAGCAAAAGCUUCCAUUUUGAAUGUCUCACUAAAUUCGGCAAAACCAACUCAACGUCAGCUACAUCAACAGGUCGACAAUCAAUCCACAUUGACAUAUAUUUCCAGCAAACUAGACACAUUUCAUUCUGUUGUCCUCUCUUUGUCCAUCCACCUCUCAUCCUAUCUCCAUAUCGCUCUUUCAUUUGAAGAGCUCUUCAGCAUACCCCAAGCCCUUCACAGAGGAAGUAUGGUUGGAGAGAUGAGAAGAGAGGGAGCGGGAGAGGAGAAGCGAGAGUUGAAGAAGAAGAAGAAGAAUAGAGGAAAAGAGUCAGGGAUGUGUGUGCAUUCAUGUGUAUGAGUGUGUGCAGUUGCUCUAUGAUGACCCAAGUAGAGGAGAUUACAUUUUCAGUGAAAUCUACAGCACAGUACAUUCUGAACACUGAUAAACACACACAGUGCCUCCCUCCAACCCUCCACCCCUCUCCCCCACCUCUGUCCUCCUCCCUCUCGCCGGCUGUCCCUCUUCUGUUUAUCAUUCACCUCUCUCUCCCUCCUCGCUCUUUUCUAUUCACUCUUUCCCAUGCCCUCCACUUCUCUCUCUCCAUCUUCA
Coregonus clupeaformis (lake whitefish) is the source of this 1061-nucleotide long non-coding RNA. RefSeq lists it as uncharacterized. The record is from RefSeq and is a predicted model, not a curated record. The transcript is spliced from 3 exons. NCBI's taxonomy places the organism in Eukaryota, Metazoa, Chordata, Actinopteri, Salmoniformes, Salmonidae.